GAUGAACGCUGGCGGCGUGCCUAAUACAUGCAAGUCGAGCGAACAGACGAGGAGCUUGCUCCUCUGACGUUAGCGGUGGACGGGUGAGUAACACGUGGAUAACCUACCUAUAAGACUGGGAUAACUUCGGGAAACCGGAGCUAAUACCGGAUAACAUGUUGAAACGCAUGGUUCAACAGUGAAAGACGGUCUUGCUGUCACUUAUAGAUGGAUCCGCGCCGCAUUAGCUAGUUGGUAAGGUAACGGCUUACCAAGGCAACGAUGCGUAGCCGACCUGAGAGGGUGAUCGGCCACACUGGAACUGAGACACGGUCCAGACUCCUACGGGAGGCAGCAGUAGGGAAUCUUCCGCAAUGGGCGAAAGCCUGACGGAGCAACGCCGCGUGAGUGAAGAAGGUCUUCGGAUCGUAAAACUCUGUUAUUAGGGAAGAACAAAUGUGUAAGUAACUAUGCACGUCUUGACGGUACCUAAUCAGAAAGCCACGGCUAACUACGUG
RNAcentral lists this ribosomal RNA (497 nucleotides) under uncultured bacterium. RNAcentral describes it as "partial 16S ribosomal RNA". It matches the Rfam family "Bacterial small subunit ribosomal RNA", at positions 28 to 507 of the family's 1533-position model. The record is from RNAcentral.